This 427-nucleotide ribosomal RNA is filed under the name uncultured bacterium. RNAcentral's name for it is "bacterial SSU rRNA". It matches the Rfam family "Bacterial small subunit ribosomal RNA", at positions 355 to 774 of the family's 1533-position model. The record is from RNAcentral.
UGGGGAAUUUUGGACAAUGGGCGCAAGCCUGAUCCAGCCAUGCCGCGUGAGUGAAGAAGGCCUUCGGGUUGUAAAGCUCUUUCGGACGGGAAGAAGUGGCGGGCUCUAACAUAGCCUGUCGAUGACGGUACCGUAAGAAGAAGCACCGGCUAACUACGUGCCAGCAGCCGCGGUAAUACGUAGGGUGCGAGCGUUAAUCGGAAUUACUGGGCGUAAAGCGUGCGCAGGCGGUUUUGUAAGACAGAUGUGAAAUCCCCGGGCUUAACCUGGGAACUGCGUUUGUGACUGCAAGGCUGGAGUACGGCAGAGGGGGGUGGAAUUCCACGUGUAGCAGUGAAAUGCGUAGAGAUGUGGAGGAACACCGAUGGCGAAGGCAGCCCCCUGGGCCUGUACUGACGCUCAUGCACGAAAGCGUGGGGAGCAAACA